GUUAUCUUGUCGGAGUGCCCAGCGUCGCGGUAACGCGUGCGGGCUGAGACCGUUAAUUCGGGAUCCGCGGAACCUGAUCAGGUUAAAACCUGCGAAGGGAACAAGAGUAAACAUCAU
This 117-nucleotide non-coding RNA is filed under the name Lonsdalea quercina. RNAcentral describes it as "TPP sequence". It matches the Rfam family "TPP riboswitch aptamer (THI element)". From Rfam's summary of the family: Vitamin B(1) in its active form thiamin pyrophosphate (TPP) is an essential coenzyme that is synthesised by coupling of pyrimidine and thiazole moieties in bacteria. The previously detected thiamin-regulatory element, thi box was extended, resulting in a new, highly conserved RNA secondary structure, the THI element, which is widely distributed in eubacteria and also occurs in some archaea. Lineage: Bacteria; Pseudomonadati; Pseudomonadota; Gammaproteobacteria; Enterobacterales; Pectobacteriaceae. The record is from Rfam by way of RNAcentral.